AAGUCGGGCCUGCCCACUGAGUAAUAGAGGAUUUCGGUAUUUUGACAGUGCAAAGGAGAAAAACUCGAUCGUGUUUUGUGUGCGGGCUUGUAUGAAUGGUUUCACGAAGGAUCAGCUGUCUCUUUAUUAUAUAUACAAUUUAUUCUGCGAGUCAAAAAACUACAAUAAACAUACCGGACGAGAAGACCCUAUAGAGCUUUAUAUAAUUGCAAGCUGUAUUUAUCAAAAGAAAAGUUUCUUAUAUUCUAAGUUAUAUUACGUUGGGGAGACAUAUGGAUAUAAUAAACUCUUUAUUUAUUUAAACAAAAAUUUAUGUAUACAUCAUCCAAUAUUAUAUAUUAAAAGAAAAAGUUACCAAAGGGAAAACAGCGUUUUCACUAGAGAGUUCUUAUCGAAAAAUAUGAUUGCGACCUCGAUGUUGGAUUAUGAGAAAGAGAAAAUGCAGAAGUUAUAUUAUUAUGUCUGUUCGACUUUAAAAUUCUUAC
RNAcentral lists this ribosomal RNA (485 nucleotides) under Afroanthracites usambaricus. RNAcentral describes it as "partial 16S ribosomal RNA". The record is from RNAcentral. Lineage: Eukaryota; Metazoa; Arthropoda; Insecta; Orthoptera; Tettigoniidae.